This 857-nucleotide ribosomal RNA is filed under the name uncultured bacterium. Its description in RNAcentral is "SSU rRNA". It matches the Rfam family "Bacterial small subunit ribosomal RNA", at positions 524 to 1381 of the family's 1533-position model. The record is from RNAcentral.
UACGGGAGUGGCAAGCGUUAUCCGGAAUUAUUGGGCGUAAAGCGUCCGCAGGCGGUCUGUCAAGUCUGCUGUUAAAGCGUGGAGCUUAACUCCAUUUCGGCAGUGGAAACUGACAGACUAGAGUGUGGUAGGGGCAGAGGGAAUUCCCGGUGUAGCGGUGAAAUGCGUAGAUAUCGGGAAGAACACCAGUGGCGAAGGCGCUCUGCUGGGCCAUAACUGACGCUCAUGGACGAAAGCCAGGGGAGCGAAAGGGAUUAGAUACCCCUGUAGUCCUGGCCGUAAACGAUGAACACUAGGUGUCGGGGGAAUCGACCCCCUCGGUGUCGUAGCCAACGCGUUAAGUGUUCCGCCUGGGGAGUACGCACGCAAGUGUGAAACUCAAAGGAAUUGACGGGGGCCCGCACAAGCGGUGGAGUAUGUGGUUUAAUUCGAUGCAACGCGAAGAACCUUACCAGGGUUUGACAUCCUGCGAAUCUCUUGGAAACGAGAGAGUGCCUUCGGGAACGCAGUGACAGGUGGUGCAUGGCUGUCGUCAGCUCGUGUCGUGAGAUGUUGGGUUAAGUCCCGCAACGAGCGCAACCCACGUCGUUAGUUGCCAGCAUUUAGUUGGGCACUCUAGCGAGACCGCCGGUGAUAAACCGGAGGAAGGUGUGGAUGACGUCAAGUCAUCAUGCCCCUUACAUCCUGGGCUACACACGUACUACAAUGCUACGAACAAAGGGCAGCAAACUCGCGAGAGCUAGCAAAUCCCAUAAACCGUGGCUCAGUUCAGAUCGUAGGCUGCAACUCGCCUACGUGAAGGAGGAAUCGCUAGUAAUCGCAGGUCAGCAUACUGCGGUGAAUACGUUCCCGGGCCU